GACAGAGGGUGCAAACGUUGUUCGGAAUUACUGGGCGUAAAGCGUGUGUAGGCGGCUUGGUAAGUCGGAUGUGAAAGCCCUGGGCUCAACCCAGGAAGUGCACUCGAUACUGCUAGGCUUGAGUCUCGGAGAGGUUGGUGGAAUUCCAGGUGUAGAGGUGAAAUUCGUAGAUAUCUGGAGGAACACCGGUGGCGAAGGCGGCCAACUGGACGAAGACUGACGCUGAGACACGAAAGCGUGGGGAGCAAACAGG
This 253-nucleotide ribosomal RNA is filed under the name uncultured bacterium. RNAcentral describes it as "partial 16S ribosomal RNA". It matches the Rfam family "Bacterial small subunit ribosomal RNA", at positions 524 to 776 of the family's 1533-position model. The record is from RNAcentral.